CGGUUUAUAGCUCAGAAGGUAGAGCACCGUCCUUUUAAGACGGGAGUCCUUGGUUCGAAUCCAAGUAGGCCGA
Molecule: transfer RNA, 73 nt
Filed under: Bacteroidota bacterium
Lineage: Bacteria; Pseudomonadati; Bacteroidota
Also listed under: 1 other name
Description: Bacteroidetes bacterium (activated sludge metagenome) tRNA-Lys
Rfam family: tRNA
About the family: Transfer RNA (tRNA) molecules are approximately 80 nucleotides in length.
Source: RNAcentral